AGGCUGCUCUUACUCUUGCUCGAUCCCUCUCUGCCUCAGUUCUUCCUCCCUCUCUUUCGCUUGCUUCUUUGCUACUGAGUUGUGGUAUUGAGAGAGGGUGAAGCUGGGAUUGUUUAUACACCUUUGUCUAACUGAAAGCCUGAGAAAGGCUGGUGUACUUGGCUAUAAUUGCUGGCUGGUUAGUGGUUGUUCCCUCUGCAGUAAAAUCGCAGGGUGUACUCGUGAGUUGGAUGAGCCUUUGGCUCCUGGUUGUGCUUUGAUAUCAUAGCUGGAAAGGUGCAUUAUUCCCUGCAUUCCCUUGCUGUACUACUUAACUGUAUUUGUCUCCACAUGAGGUGUUGUACUAGGUUUAUUCAUUACUUUUGUUGGUUUAUGGCAGGUACGAGUGAAGUACGAGCUGCAGGGACGCAGCCUUGCAGAGUGCAGCCACUGAGGUGAAGUGCUGUUGGCUGACUUACUUCUCCCGGCCCAGCUCUUUCUUAUUUUUCUGAAAGGGACAAGGGAGACCUAUUUCCUCUGCCCCUCUAGUUCGGCCCAUCGGACCAUCGAAAAGAUCUGGGCCGCAAGCCCGUGCUGAAGAGGCCCAACGCUAGUUUACACUUUCCUUUUUCUCUCUAUAGUGUAAUCGAGUAGUUCUACUUGAAAACUCUCUUUUCUUUAACGUGUAAUAGUUAUUUGGUGUGUAUUACUUUUCAAGCAUUUGUACUUUAUUAGCUUGAAAUUCUGAAA
Salvia splendens (bonfire salvia) is the source of this 729-nucleotide long non-coding RNA. RefSeq lists it as uncharacterized. The record is from RefSeq and is a predicted model, not a curated record. The transcript has 2 exons. NCBI's taxonomy places the organism in Eukaryota, Viridiplantae, Streptophyta, Magnoliopsida, Lamiales, Lamiaceae.